GCUGCCCUCAGGCCCCUUGUGAAGCCCAAGAUCAUCAAAAAGCGAACCAAGAAGUUCAUAUGGCACCAGUCUGACCCAUACGUCAAAUUAAGCCUAACUGGCGGAAACCCGGAGGUACUGACAACAGGGUUCGUAGAAGGUUCAAGGGCCAGAUCUUGAUGCCCAACGUUGGUUAUGGGGCAACAAAAAAACAAAGCACAUGCUGCCAAGUGGCUUCUGGAAUUUCCUGGUCCACAACGUCAAGGAGCUGGAAGUACUGCUGAUGCGCAGCAAAUCUUACUGUGCUGAGAUCGCUCACAAUGUUUCCUCCAAGGACCACAAAGCCAUUGUGGAAAGAGCUGCUCAGCUGGCCAUCAGAGUCACCAACCCCAAUGCCAAGCUGUGCAGCGAAGACAAUGAG
This 400-nucleotide long non-coding RNA is filed under the name Homo sapiens (human). Its description in RNAcentral is "non-protein coding lnc-TREM1-2:1". Lineage: Eukaryota; Metazoa; Chordata; Mammalia; Primates; Hominidae. The record is from RNAcentral.